AUUGAACGCUGGCGGCAUGCCUUACACAUGCAAGUCGAACGGUAACGCGGGGGCAACCCUGGCGACGAGUGGCGAACGGGUGAGUAAUACAUCGGAACGUACCCAGUAGUGGGGGAUAGCUCGGCGAAAGCCGGAUUAAUACCGCAUACGACCUAUGGGUGAAAGCGGGGGAUCGCAAGACCUCGCGCUAUUGGAGCGGCCGAUGUCGGAUUAGCUAGUUGGUGAGGUAAAGGCUCACCAAGGCUACGAUCCGUAGCUGGUCUGAGAGGACGACCAGCCACACUGGGACUGAGACACGGCCCAGACUCCUACGGGAGGCAGCAGUGGGGAAUUUUGGACAAUGGGCGAAAGCCUGAUCCAGCCAUGCCGCGUGUGUGAAGAAGGCCUCGGUUGUAAGUAC
This 400-nucleotide ribosomal RNA is filed under the name uncultured bacterium. Its description in RNAcentral is "bacterial SSU rRNA". It matches the Rfam family "Bacterial small subunit ribosomal RNA", at positions 30 to 433 of the family's 1533-position model. The record is from RNAcentral.